RNAcentral lists this ribosomal RNA (218 nucleotides) under uncultured bacterium. RNAcentral describes it as "partial 16S ribosomal RNA". It matches the Rfam family "Bacterial small subunit ribosomal RNA", at positions 524 to 738 of the family's 1533-position model. The record is from RNAcentral.
UACGUAGGGUGCGAGCGUUAAUCGGAAUUACUGGGCGUAAAGCGUGCGCAGGCGGUUCGUUGUGUCGGCGGUGAAAGCCCCGGGCUUAACCUGGGAAUGGCCGUUGAAACUGGCGAACUGGAGUGUGGCAGAGGGGGGUGGAAUUCCGCGUGGUAGCAGGUGAAAUGCGUAGAGAAUGCGGAGGAACACCGAUGGCGAAGGCAGCCCCCUGGGCUGAA